CCUACGGGUGGCAGCAGUGGGGGAUAUUGCACAAUGGGGGGAACCCUGAUGCAGCGACGCCGCGUGGGUGAAGAAGCGCCUCGGCGCGUAAAGCCCUGUCAGCAGGGAAGAAAAUGACGGUAUCUGAAGAAGAAGCCCCGGCUAACUACGUGCCAGCAGCCGCGGUAAUACGUAGGGGGCAAGCGUUACCCGGAUUUACUGGGUGUAAAGGGGGCGCAGACGGGGAAGCAAGCCAGGUGUGAAAGCCCGGGGCUCAACCCCGGGACUGCUCUUGGAACUGCGUGGCUGGAGUGCAGGAGGGGCAGGCGGAAUUCCUGGUGUAGCGGUGAAAUGCGUAGAUAUCAGGAGGAACACCGGUGGCGAAGGCGGCCUGCUGGAAUGCAACUGACGUUGAGGCCCGAAAGCGUGGGGAGCAAACAGGAUUAGAUACCCCUGUAGUC
Molecule: ribosomal RNA, 440 nt
Filed under: uncultured bacterium
Lineage: Bacteria
Description: partial 16S ribosomal RNA
Rfam family: Bacterial small subunit ribosomal RNA
Source: RNAcentral